This 76-nucleotide transfer RNA is filed under the name Alphaproteobacteria bacterium 62-8. RNAcentral describes it as "tRNA-Val". It matches the Rfam family "tRNA". Rfam says of the family: Transfer RNA (tRNA) molecules are approximately 80 nucleotides in length. Their secondary structure includes four short double-helical elements and three loops (D, anti-codon, and T loops). The record is from RNAcentral. Lineage: Bacteria; Pseudomonadati; Pseudomonadota; Alphaproteobacteria. RNAcentral also lists the same sequence under 2 other names.
GGGCGGUUAGCUCAGCUGGUAGAGCACAUCGUUUACACCGAUGGGGUCGGCGGUUCGAACCCGUCACCGCCCACCA